GACGAACGCUGGCGGCGUGCUUAACACAUGCAAGUCGAACGGAAAGGCCCUGCUUUUGUGGGGUGCUCGAUUGGCGAACGGGUGAGUAACACGCGAGUAACCUGCCCCUGACUUUGGGAUAACUUCAGGAAACUGGGGCUAAUACCGCAUAGGAUCUCCUGCUGCAUGGGGGGGGUUGGAAAGUUUCGGCGGUUGGGGAUGGACUCGCGGCAUAUCAGCUUGUUGGUGGGGUAGUGGCUUACCAAGGCUUUGACGGGUAGCCGGCCUGGGAGGGUGAACGGCCACAUUGGGACUGAGAUACGGCCCAGACUCCUACGGGAGGCAGCAGUGGGGAGUAUUGCACAAUGGGCGGAAGCCUGAUGUAGCAGCGCCGCGUGCGGGAUGACGGCCUUCGGGUUGUAAACCGAUUUCGCCUGUGACGAGGCGUGAGUGACGGUAAUGGGUAAAGAAGCACCGGCUAACUACGUG
Molecule: ribosomal RNA, 468 nt
Filed under: uncultured bacterium
Lineage: Bacteria
Description: partial 16S ribosomal RNA
Rfam family: Bacterial small subunit ribosomal RNA
Source: RNAcentral